Molecule: ribosomal RNA, 465 nt
Filed under: uncultured bacterium
Lineage: Bacteria
Description: partial 16S ribosomal RNA
Rfam family: Bacterial small subunit ribosomal RNA
Source: RNAcentral
UGGGAAUAUUGCACAAUGGGCGCAAGCCUGAUGCAGCCAUGCCGCGUGUGUGAAGAAGGCCUUCGGGUUGUAAAGCACUUUCAGCGAGGAGGAAGGUGGUGAGCUUAAUACGCUCAUCAAUUGACGUUACUCGCAGAAGAAGCACCGGCUAACUCCGUGCCAGCAGCCGCGGUAAUACGGAGGGUGCAAGCGUUAAUCGGAAUUACUGGGCGUAAAGCUCACGCAGGCGGUUUGUUAAGUCAGAUGUGAAAUCCCCGGGCUCAACCUGGGAACUGCAUUUGAAACUGGCAAGCUAGAGUCUCGUAGAGGGGGUAGAAUUCCAGGUGUAGCGGUGAAAUGCGUAGAGAUCUGGAGGAAUACCGGUGGCGAAGGCGGCCCCCUGGACGAAGACUGACGCUCAGGUGCGAAAGCGUGGGGAGCAAACAGAUUAGAUACCCUGGUAGUCCACGCUGUAAACGAUGUCGA